This 497-nucleotide ribosomal RNA is filed under the name uncultured bacterium. RNAcentral describes it as "partial 16S ribosomal RNA". It matches the Rfam family "Bacterial small subunit ribosomal RNA", at positions 28 to 507 of the family's 1533-position model. The record is from RNAcentral.
GAUGAACGCUGGCGGCGUGCCUAAUACAUGCAAGUCGAGCGAACGGACGAGAAGCUUGCUUCUCUGCUGUUAGCGGCGGACGGGUGAGUAACACGUGGAUAACCUACCUCUAAGACUGGGAUAACUUCGGGAAACCGGAGCUAAUACCGGAUCAUAUUUUGAACCGCAUGGUUCAAAAGUAAAAGACGGUCUUGCUGUCACUUAUAGAUGGAUCCGCGCUGCAUUAGCUAGUUGGUAAGGUAACGGCUUACCAAGGCAACGAUGCAUAGCCGACCUGAGAGGGUGAUCGGCCACACUGGAACUGAGACACGGUCCAGACUCCUACGGGAGGCAGCAGUAGGGAAUCUUCCGCAAUGGGCGAAAGCCUGACGGAGCAACGCCGCGUGAGUGAUGAAGGUCUUCGGAUCGUAAAACUCUGUUAUUAGGGAAGAACAUAUGUGUAAGUAACUGUGCACAUCUUGACGGUACCUAAUCAGAAAGCCACGGCUAACUACGUG